This 393-nucleotide ribosomal RNA is filed under the name Triticum aestivum (bread wheat). RNAcentral's name for it is "partial small subunit ribosomal RNA". The record is from RNAcentral. Lineage: Eukaryota; Viridiplantae; Streptophyta; Magnoliopsida; Poales; Poaceae.
AUGAGUCCAGCCAGUCUAUUGGUAUUUAAGUUCAAUAUUGUAGAUGAUAAUGAGGAUAUCCAAGAUGAGGAUUUUGGUGACAAUGAGGUCAAUGCAACACAAUCCAGGAAAUUUGUUAGUGCAAGGGAGUACUACUGCUUCAAGCUACAGGUCAGGAAGAAGCUUUUUAACUUCAUCUUGUUUGGUGGGCGCCUUUUCCAACAGUGGGCGGUUGAUAUGUAUAUCAAGAUUGAGACUAUGAGGUUGGACUGGUACUCAAAGCCAGAAAAUCAAAAGGUUAUACGAUCUGAUCUCUACCAGGGUCUUGUUGACACCAUCGUUGCCGGCGAGUCACGCGGUGAUCGAAUUGGCAAGAGAAUCGUGCUUCCACGUACGUUUCCUGGUGGUGAUCGC